RNAcentral lists this long non-coding RNA (1523 nucleotides) under Ovis aries (sheep). RNAcentral's name for it is "lncRNA (ENSOARG00000027025.1)". Lineage: Eukaryota; Metazoa; Chordata; Mammalia; Artiodactyla; Bovidae. The record is from RNAcentral.
AGGGGCCCUAAGAAGCACAGGCCAUGAAACCCAACAAAUCCUGAGCUCUGACUUCAUGCUAUUGCCUUGCAAGUACUUCUUCAAGCUGCUUUGGAAAUAGGAGCAAUUAUAUUACAUGCCUUAACUCUUGAAUAAACACCCAGCUGCCAUUGAUUUACAGCUUUUCAGUUCUGCAGAAACUAUAGAACUGAAGCAGUUUCUGGAAGUUUCUAGGUCAGGACUGUCAAUCUGUAUGUUCUCUGCUUCAAAACACCAGUACCUGAAUUCUCUUUCUUGGCCACAUUUGGGAGCCAAAUAUUUUGACUGUUAAUGACAGUGCAAUACACCUGGGAGGGCAGGGCUUGGACCUGUCAAAUCUACCACAAACUAGGACUCUAGUUCCUGAGUGCAAAUUUUGUUACGGUCUCUUGGCAGAAGAUAGGUGACAAGGAUUGCUUCUACUGCUUUCAGCAAAUAUAUACAAGUUUUGACUUCGUAUCAAGUGCCCAGAUUCCUGUGUCCAGAUGCUUUCUGAACAUCUCAAAACUGCCUCAUUGCUAACAUUUCAGGUAUUACAAAUGCUCUUUAUUCCGCUAUCUUUUUAUGUAACCAAUAAUUAAGUCCUCUCUGUUUCUUUUGGGCAAUGUGUCUGAAAUUGAACAUAUCUUUUUCUAGGUUGGGAAGAUCCCCAGAGGAGGGCAUGGCAACCCACACCAGUAUCUUCCCUGGAGAAUCUCGUGGACAGAGGAGCCUGGCAAGCUACAGUCCAUGGGUUUUGCAAACAGUCAGAUACGACUGAGCGACUAACACUUUCACUUUUCCAUUCACAGGGUCGGUGUGAGGCCUUACUAACCAACACAGCCCUUCCCAGCACUGUGUCCCAUUCUUCUCUCAGCUGUGUUUUCAAACAACACAAAGAUAUAUACAGAAGUACACGUUUUGGAAUCAAGUCUGGAGUCAAAGGAUUCUCAAGGCUUUUUUUUAGUUCCUUCAAGCCCCAGGAGGAAGCAUAUUCUUUCAAGACAAAAUGGAUCAUUUCCUGUCAUUUUUUGUAAGCCUGCCACCCACCCAUGCCUUGCUCAACUCAACUUUGAGUGCUUCUGGGAUGGAAGUUCCAUGAGGGGAGAGAACAUUUAUUUAACUGCUGCAUUCACGGCAUCCAGAACUAUGUUCAGUACAUAAAAGGUGCUCAGUAAACAUGUGGGAUGAAUGAAUGAAUGAUAUGAUUUGAUCAAAGACUGAGCUAAAUCAAAUUCUUCACAUAAAACUAUGACUAUAUUAGAAAUAAGAGAGAUAAUUUUGACAAGAGAAAUUUGUGAUAGGAAGAAAAAAGACAACUCCCAUAUCUUUCUCAUUUGCUUUCAACUCUGGAUGAAUCUCAUUUUUUAUAUUUAGCAGUGUAGGCAGACCUUGGAGACCUUACAGGUUUGGUUCCAGACCCCUGCAGUAAAGUGAAUAUCACAAUAAACUGAGUCAGGUGAAUUUUUGGUUUCCCAGCGCACAUAAAAAUUAUGCUUACACUCUACUGUAGUCUACUCAGUGUG